RNAcentral lists this transfer RNA (73 nucleotides) under Felis catus (domestic cat). It matches the Rfam family "tRNA". Rfam says of the family: Transfer RNA (tRNA) molecules are approximately 80 nucleotides in length. Their secondary structure includes four short double-helical elements and three loops (D, anti-codon, and T loops). Lineage: Eukaryota; Metazoa; Chordata; Mammalia; Carnivora; Felidae. The record is from Rfam by way of RNAcentral.
GCCUGGGUGGCUCAUUGGAUUGAGCAUCUGAUUCUUGAUCUCAAAGUUGUGAGUUCAAGCCCUGUCUUGGGCU